This 492-nucleotide ribosomal RNA is filed under the name uncultured bacterium. Its description in RNAcentral is "partial 16S ribosomal RNA". It matches the Rfam family "Bacterial small subunit ribosomal RNA", at positions 29 to 507 of the family's 1533-position model. The record is from RNAcentral.
AGUGAACGCUGGCGGUAGGCCUAACACAUGCAAGUCGAACGGCAGCACAGUAAGAGCUUGCUCUUACGGGUGGCGAGUGGCGUACGGGUGAGGAAUACAUCGGAAUCUACUUUUUCGUGGGGGAUAACGUAGGGAAACUUACGCUAAUACCGCAUACGACCUACGGUUGAAAGCAGGGGAUCUUCGGACCUUGCGCGAUUGAUUGAGCCGAUGUCGGAUUAGCUAGUUGGCGGGGUAAAGGCCCACCAAGGCGACGAUCCGUAGCUGGUCUGAGAGGAUGAUCAGCCCCACUGGAACUGAACCACGGUCCAGACUCCUACGGGAGGCAGCAGUGGGGAAUAUUGGACAAUGGGCGCAAGCCUGAUCCAGCCAUACCGCGUGGGUGAAGAAGGCCUUCGGGUUGUAAAGCCCUUUUGUUGGGAAAGAAAAGCAGCAGGUUAAUACCCCGCUGUUCUGACGGUACCCAAAGAAUAAGCACCGGCUAACUUCGUG